Molecule: ribosomal RNA, 440 nt
Filed under: uncultured bacterium
Lineage: Bacteria
Description: partial 16S ribosomal RNA
Rfam family: Bacterial small subunit ribosomal RNA
Source: RNAcentral
CCUACGGGAGGCAGCAGUGGGGAAUAUUGCACAAUGGGGGAAACCCUGAUGCAGCGACGCCGCGUGAGUGAAGAAGUAAUUCGGUAUGUAAAGCUCUAUCAGCAGGGAAGAAAAUGACGGUACCUGAGUAAGAAGCCCCGGCUAACUACGUGCCAGCAGCCGCGGUAAUACGUAGGGGGCAAGCGUUAUCCGGAUUUACUGGGUGUAAAGGGAGCGUAGACGGGAGUGCAAGUCUGGAGUGAAAGGCGGGGGCUCAACCCCCGGACUGCUCUGGAAACUGGACGGCUGGAGUGCAGGAGAGGUAAGUGGAAUUCCUAGUGUAGCGGUGAAAUGCGUAGAUAUUAGGAGGAACACCAGUGGCGAAGGCGGCUUACUGGACUGUAACUGACGUUGAGGCUCGAAAGCGUGGGGAGCAAACAGGAUUAGAUACCCUUGUAGUC